UAGAAAGAAUACCGAUUGCGAAGGCAGCUUUCUGGAUCAUUACUGACACUGAGGAACGAAAGCAUGGGUAGCGAAGAGGAUUAGAUACCCUCGUAGUCCAUGCUGUAAACGAUGUGUGUUAGACGUUGGAAAUUUAUUUUCAGUGUCGCAGCGAAAGCAGUAAACACACCGCCUGGGGAGUACGACCGCAAGGUUAAAACUCAAAUGAAUUGACGGGGACCCGCACAAGUAGUGGAGCAUGUGGUUUAAUUCGAAGAUACGCGCAGAACCUUACCAACACUUGACAUGUUCGUCGCGACUCUAAGAGAUUAGAGUUUUCGGUUCGGCCGGACGAAACACAGGUGCUGCAUGGCUGUCGUCAGCUCGUGUCGUGAGAUGUUGGGUUAAGUCCCGCAACGAGCGCAACCCUCACUUUUAGUUGCCAUCAUUUAGUUGGGCACUCUGAAAGAACUGCCAGUGAUAAGCUGGAGGAAGGUGGGGAUGACGUCAAGUCCUCAUGGCCCUUACGUGUUGGGCUACACACGUGCUACAAUGGUAUUUACAAUAGGAAGCAAGAUGGCGACAUCAAGCAAAUCCUAAAAAAAUACCUCAGUUCGGAUUGCACUCUGCAACUCGAGUGCAUGAAGCUGGAAUUACUAGUAAUCGCGGAUCAGCGUGCCGCGGUGAAUACGUUCCCGGGUCUUGUACACACCGCCCGUCACACCAUGGGAGUUGGUUCUACCUUAAGCCAAAGUUUAAAAACUUUGACCACGGUAUAGUCAGCGACUGGGGUGAAGUCGUAACAAGGUAGCCGUAA
RNAcentral lists this ribosomal RNA (796 nucleotides) under uncultured Candidatus Pelagibacter sp. Its description in RNAcentral is "bacterial SSU rRNA". It matches the Rfam family "Bacterial small subunit ribosomal RNA", at positions 698 to 1505 of the family's 1533-position model. Lineage: Bacteria; Pseudomonadati; Pseudomonadota; Alphaproteobacteria; Candidatus Pelagibacterales; Candidatus Pelagibacteraceae. The record is from RNAcentral.